RNAcentral lists this ribosomal RNA (502 nucleotides) under uncultured bacterium. Its description in RNAcentral is "partial 16S ribosomal RNA". It matches the Rfam family "Bacterial small subunit ribosomal RNA", at positions 29 to 523 of the family's 1533-position model. The record is from RNAcentral.
AUUGAACGCUGGCGGCAGGCCUAACACAUGCAAGUCGAGCGGUAGCACAGAGAGCUUGCUCUCGGGUGACGAGCGGCGGACGGGUGAGUAAUGUCUGGGAAACUGCCUGAUGGAGGGGGAUAACUACUGGAAACGGUAGCUAAUACCGCAUAACGUCGCAAGACCAAAGUGGGGGACCUUCGGGCCUCAUGCCAUCAGAUGCGCCCAGAUGGGAUUAGCUAGUAGGUGGGGUAACGGCUCACCUAGGCGACGAUCCCUAGCUGGUCUGAGAGGAUGACCAGCCACACUGGAAAUGAGACACGGUCCAGACUCCUACGGGAGGCAGCAGUGGGGAAUAUUGCACAAUGGGCGCAAGCCUGAUGCAGCCAUGCCGCGUGUGAAGAAGGCCUUCGGGUUGUAAAGCACUUUCAGCGGGGAGGAAGGCGGUGAGGUUAAUAACCUCAUCGAUUGACGUUACCCGCAGAAGAAGCACCGGCUAACUCCGUGCCAGCCGCCGCAGUAA